GACGAACGCUGGCGGCGUGCCUAAUACAUGCAAGUAGAACGCUGAAGGAGGAGCUUGCUUCUCCGGAUGAGUUGCGAACGGGUGAGUAACGCGUAGGUAACCUGCCUGGUAGCGGGGGAUAACUAUUGGAAACGAUAGCUAAUACCGCAUAACAGUAGAUGUUGCAUGAGAUUUGCUUAAAAGGUGCAAUUGCAUCACUACCAGAUGGAGCUGCGUUGUAUUAGUUAGUUGGUGAGGUAACGGCUCACCAAGGCGACGAUACAUAGCCGGCCGGAGGGGGGUGUCGGCCAACCUGGGACUUGGACCCCGCCCAAACUCCUACGGGAGGCAGCCGGAGGGGAUCCUCGGCCAUGGGCGGAAGGCUUACCGAGCCACGCCGCGGUAAGGGAUAAGGGUCUCGGGUCCGUAAGCUCCGUUGUAAGGGAAGAAAGAGUGGGGUAGUUAAAAGUUCACACUGUGACGGUAUCUUACCAGAAAGGGACGGCUAACUACGUG
Molecule: ribosomal RNA, 495 nt
Filed under: uncultured bacterium
Lineage: Bacteria
Description: partial 16S ribosomal RNA
Rfam family: Bacterial small subunit ribosomal RNA
Source: RNAcentral